GAACCUUCAUAUGCUGCAUGUGUGGCCCUAAAAAGCAAAAAANNNNNAAAAAAAAAUUCAGUAUACAAAAGCCAAUGCUUGUGCUUUAAAUCAACAGUCAUCAAAAUGUACAGUUUUAGAAGUUGCCUGCUGUGGUGCAGUGGGUUAAUGACCUGGCGUCUGUGGUGGCACUGAUUUGAGCCUCUGCCUGGUGCAGUGGGUUAAGGAUUCAGUAUUGCUGCAGCUGUGGUGUAGGUCACAGCUCCAGUUUGGAUUUGAUCCCUGGCCCAGGAGCCUCCUUAGGCUGUGGAGGCAGCUGAAAAUAGAAAUAAUAUAUAUAUGUACAUAUAUAUACACACACACACAAUUUUAAAAGCCUUAAAAUGGUAACUAGAGUAGAAAAUAUCUAGGAAUAAACUUGACAUAAGAAAAGUAUGCAGGACCCAUAUAAAUAAAACUGUAAAACUUUUCUGGGAGACUUGAAGACUUAAAUAAAUGAUAGGGCAUACCACAUUCUUGGAUGGCAUAACUCAAUAAUUCAGCCAUUUCAAUUCUAAUAAAAAUGUCAGAAGUAUUUUUUUUUAACUAGACUAUAUAAUCCUAAGGUCACCUGGGAAGCUUAAUAAAAGGCCGAAGAAUUUUCAGACCAUUGAGAGGUGACUUACACUGCUAGAAAGAAAGAUUUAUUAUCAAAGCAGCAUGAUUCUUGUUUAAGAAUAGAAAUAGCCCCCAAAACAGGUUCAAGUAUAUACAUUUGGUUUAAGAUAAAGGUGGAAUUUAACAUUCUUAUGCUUCUUAAGGUACAGAAAGUUGCUAAGCACAUCAUUCCUACCCCAAUAAGGAGAAAAUGACAGAUAAACUGCAAAAUCAUUACUUGUGUAGAACUCAGAGAAGGAUAAGGAUGCGAGGCAGCCAAGUAGCCUCAUUCCAAAGAGAGAAAAGCCCCUCGAGGAAAGGUGAGCUUCACAAACUGUCUUUGCUCUGGGAGAGCAUAGGGAACAGAGGCACUGACACCGUCCCCAUGGGGAGAAUAAAUCAGCCGAAUAAUAUGCCAUCGGAGUUCCCGUCGUGUCGCAGUGGAAAUGAAUCCGACUAGGAACCGUGAGGUUGCAGGUUCAAUCCUUGGCCUCAUUCAGUGGGUUAAGGAUCCGGUGUUGCCGUGAGCUGUGGUGUAGGUUGCAGACAUGGUUCAGAUCUGGUGUUGCUGUGGCUGUGGCAUAGGCCUGCAGUUGCAGCUCCAACUGGACCCCUAGCCUGGGAACCUCCAUAUGCCGCGGGAGAGGCCCUAGAAAAGGCACAAAGACAACAACAACAACAACAACAAAAAGCUAUCAAAAGCCAUGUGUGGGUGAGCUAUAGAUGAGUAGAUGAGCCUUUACAUCUGGAUGAGCUGAGGUAGCAGAGGAGUUCCUACUCAGCUACAGACUCUUCCGCAGCCUUCCACCAGGUGCUCCAGCUCCCUCUGGGGGCCAGUCAGAGCGAGGCGAUCCAGGCAUGUUGGGGACAUAAAAUACCAGGGGCUUCCCUAUAUUUUUCUCCCUAGGAAUCAAAAGCUCUAAGCUCCUCGGGGUAGGGCAGCAAACUCAGUUGCCCGCAGGGUUCAAGGUGAUCGGUGGAUGUGGGGUCUAAGGUCCUGCCUGCCUUCCUGGACAGUCUUCCCUGGACAGUAGAGUACAGUCUCAAGUCUCCGUGCAGCAGAGCCCAUUACCCCCGGGGCAGUCAGACCAAGACGCAUUGCUUAGUAGCUGCCUGAAAAGCAUUUGAUGAUAUUAAACUUACAUUUAUGAUAAAAACUCAGCAGACUAGCAUUUCCUCAGCCUGAUAAAGGACAUCUACAAAGCCCUGUGGCUACCAUCAUACUUAACGGUGGAAGAUGGAAUGUAUUAGUUGCAGAACGUCCAUACAACGGAAUGCGUCUCGUCGAUAAAAUGGAUGAAUUACCGAUACAAGCAGCAACAUGGGUGAAUCUCAAAAGCAUUAUGGUAAAUGCAUACCUGCCCUGUGCCAGACCUUGUAGUAAGUGCUGGGACUGUGGAUCAAGGCGGGCCCCUGGUGCUGACCUCAGGCAUCUGGCCAGGUGCAGAUGAAGCCGUAAGCACCUGGGGGACUACGAAGAGACGGGAGAGCCGGAGGACUCUCUGCAAUGUGGCAUCUGGGAAGGGUCCUCCCGGAAGUGCCAUUUAUGCUGAGACCUGAAGUCUAAGGAGUGCUCGUCCUGCCGAGUACGAGGGGAGAAUGUUCCAGGCAAAGGCCCUGUGUGAAGAGGACACCUAGUUAGUCUGAGGAACUCAUGGACGUGCAGAGUGUGAGAAGCACAGAAGGACGGGGCGAGGGAGAGUGCGGCCCAAGCAGUUGGUGAAGACGCCGGCUUCAGAGAGGGGGCUCUGAGUGCAACGGGAAGCUUGAAGCUGAGGGGUGGCAGGACCCAGUGCCCAGUCUGGCCACCGAUGGAGAAUUGCCUGGAGGGGGCAGGCGUGAGUUGAUCCAGGGAAACAGGAGAGGGGAGGGAUCAGGGCUGGUUCCUAGCUCUCUGGCUGGAGCAGCCCUUUGAAUGGAUGUGCUAUAUGCUCAGGUGGGAAAUAGCAGAGGACCACUCUCUCUGGGGGCUUAAAUACUCAGAUUGUUUUUUAUUGUGGCAGGGUAUAUGUAUAAAACAUAAAAUCGACCAUUUAAAAUCAACACUUCUGUGGCACUAGGUACAGUCACAUUGUUGUGCCACCAACACCACUCUGCAUCAUCAAAACUUUUUCUUCUUCUCCAUCUGAAGCUCUGUACCCACUUAACACGAACUCCCCAUUCUCCCCUCCCCCAGCUUCCGGCAACCAUCACUCCACUUUUGUCUCUAUGAAUUUAAUUCUCUCGGUACCUCAUAUAAUCAUACAAUAUCUGUCCUUUGGUGACUGGCUUAUUUCACUCCAUAUAAUAUCUCCGAGGUUUAUCCAUGCUGUGGCAGGUGUCAGAAUAUCCCUUUUAAGGCUUAAAGCUGUUCCAUCGUGUGUAUAGGCCGUGUUUUAUUUAUUCCUCCAUCUGUUGAUGGGCAUUUGGGUUGCUUCCACCUUUCAGCUCUUUGUCAAUUAAUUAUGCUAUUACGAGCAUGGGUGUACAAAUAUUUGUCCAAGUUCCUCCUUUCACUUCUUUUGAGUGUGUAUCCAGAAGUGGAAUUGCUGGCUCAUAUGAUAGUUCUCUUUUAAGUUUUUGGAGAAAACUCCAAAUUAUUUUCCAUACUGACUGCAGCACUUCUGAUUCCCACUUAGAGUGCACAAGGGUUUCAAUUUCCUACUUACUUGCCAACGCUUGUUAUUUAUUUUCUUUAUAAUCUCUAUCUUAAGAGGUGUGAAGUGGUAUCUCAUUGUGGUAAAACAUUCGGAUUUUAAUUUUUUAUUUACUUAUUUAUUUAUUUAGGGCCACACCUGCAGCAUAUGAAAAUUCCCAGGAUAGGGGUGGAAUUGGAGCUACAACUGCCAGCCUACACUACAGCCACAGCAACUGCAGAUCCGAGUUGCGUCUGCAACCUGUACUGGAGCUCCUGGCAACACCAGAUCCUUAAUCUGCUGCGAGAGGCCGGGGAUGGAACCUGCAUCCUCAUGAUACUAGCUGGGUUCAAUUCUGCUGAGCCACAGUGGGAACUCCCCUCUGCCCCCCCUUUUUUAUUUUUAGAUGUUAUAUUUGAGAUGCCUUAGAGUUAUUUCUGUGGCACUGUCAGGUAAAUGGUUGGCUAUACCAAGUGAGAUUUCGAAGAGAGGUCCUCUGCCCACAGGUCAGUUUAAAUGCCACUGACCCAGGUGUGCAGCAGCCUCAUGUAAAUGCCUCACCAGGAUGGACCUUCUGUAUUUGUUCUAAGGCGUCCUACCCUGGUCAGUGUGCCUGCUAUUUGAAGAUGUGAGCAUUUGGGCAUUUGGGUUCACUUCUGGUAAACAAAUGACAUUUUCUGUGUGUUUCUCCCCUCUUUGAUCCCGACUUCAUCUCCAGGGGAAAUUAACCAAGAAUUACUAAAUAUGAUCUACAAAUAAAAGUGGUAGAAAGCUUCAGAAUGAGGGAAUUAUUGUUUCAGUCCUUGAAGGCAAGUCUAGCUGAAGUCAGGUAGGUUUGAUGAUCCUUUAGAAUAAAUGGAAGGCAUUUUUGGUUAUUUUUCCCUUUCUUGGUAACAAAGAAAAUGCAGCUCUAGAGUGUUUUUCAAUUUCUUUCUCAGCUCCCUUUCAUUCUCUGAUUUCUUUACUCUUAAUGGGAUAAUAUAAACCAGUUUUCUGUCGUCUAUUAUUCAUCAAAGCUGUCGAUUUAUCCUGCACAGAACGAAGGCCAGGCUGUUAUUAAAAUAAAACAACUUCCAAUUGAGCUGCUAAUAAAUGCUGAAACGCAU
RNAcentral lists this long non-coding RNA (4336 nucleotides) under Sus scrofa (pig). RNAcentral's name for it is "lncRNA (ENSSSCG00065016822.1)". The record is from RNAcentral. Lineage: Eukaryota; Metazoa; Chordata; Mammalia; Artiodactyla; Suidae.